This 253-nucleotide ribosomal RNA is filed under the name uncultured bacterium. Its description in RNAcentral is "partial 16S ribosomal RNA". It matches the Rfam family "Bacterial small subunit ribosomal RNA", at positions 524 to 776 of the family's 1533-position model. The record is from RNAcentral.
UACGUAGGGGGCAAGCGUUAUCCGGAUUCACUGGGUGUAAGGGGAGCGUAGACGGCCAUGCAAGCCUGGAGUGAAAGCCCGGGGCCCAACCCCGGGACUGCUCUGGGAACUGUGCGGCUGGAGUGCGGGAGGGGCAGGCGGAAUUCCUGGUGUAGCGGUGAAAUGCGUAGAUAUCAGGAGGAACACCGGCGGCGAAGGCGGCCUGCUGGACCGCGACUGACGUUGAGGCUCGAAAGCGUGGGGAGCAAACAGG